AUACGGGGGAUGCAAGCGUUAUCCGGAAUCAUUGGGCGUAAAGCGCCUGUAGGUUGUUUAAUAAGUCUGUUGUUAAAGACUAGGGCUUAACCCUGGGAAAGCAAUGGAAACUAAUAGACUUGAGUAUGGUAGGGGUAGAGGGAAUUUCUAGUGUAGCGGUGAAAUGCGUAGAUAUUAGAAAGAACACCAGUGGCGAAAGCGCUCUACUGGACCAUUACUGACACUCAGAGGCGAAAGCUAGGGGAGCGAAAGGGAUUAGAAACCCUAGUAGUCC
Molecule: ribosomal RNA, 274 nt
Filed under: uncultured bacterium
Lineage: Bacteria
Description: partial 16S ribosomal RNA
Rfam family: Bacterial small subunit ribosomal RNA
Source: RNAcentral